Molecule: small RNA, 291 nt
Filed under: Fischerella thermalis JSC-11
Lineage: Bacteria; Bacillati; Cyanobacteriota; Cyanophyceae; Nostocales; Hapalosiphonaceae
Description: Fischerella sp. JSC-11 5' ureB small RNA
Rfam family: 5' ureB small RNA
Source: Rfam by way of RNAcentral
CCACUUCGAUUUGUUGGGGACAAAUAAAAUGAAUAUGGGCGUCAAUUCCUCCAGCAGUCAGAAUCAUGCCUUCACCAGCGACGGCUUCUGUCCCAGGGCCGAUAAUAAUAUCUAUAUUGUCUUGAAUGUAGGGAUUGCCAGCUUUACCAAUUUUGAAUAUUUUGCCAUCUUUAAUGCCAAUGUCUGCUUUGACAAUACCCCACCAAUCGAGAAUCAAAGCGUUGGUAAUCACCAUGUCUACAGCACCAUCAGCGUUGGAGAUGGGUGAUUGUCCCAUUCCAUCACGAAUGA